AUGGCCCGGCGCCUCCUCGCCCUGGUAGUGCAGCUGUUUCGCAUCGGAGCUCCGCCAUCCGGCGCCGGCGCCGGCGACCGCCAUCGUCCCGUGCAUCUGCGCCCAACGAAAUGGAAGCCUGCGUCUCCACGACCCGGGCUCUGGUCGCUCAUCAAGCGCUCCGUCAAGUCCAAGGUCUCUCCCGGCCCCUCCCCCUCCUCCUCCUCCUCCGUACUUGCUUCCUUGGUCGCCCUCUGUUUCUUAGUUCCACAGUCUGCCCUCCUUUCUAUCGAACCAAAGAACCAGUUCAGAGAAAUGCGAACACUGGUCGGGGUUCUAAGGAGGAUGACCCAAAAUGGGAGCAUGACAGACACCAUGUCUACAAAUUAA
Molecule: ribosomal RNA, 369 nt
Filed under: Triticum aestivum (bread wheat)
Lineage: Eukaryota; Viridiplantae; Streptophyta; Magnoliopsida; Poales; Poaceae
Description: partial small subunit ribosomal RNA
Source: RNAcentral